AUGGACUAGUUGGAGCACCCCUGCAGGGUUUAAUCUUUCGGAAAGCCGUGCCCGCGGUUAUGUGGCAACUUGGAAUAUUUUGUUAACAUCCGGUAUUAGAAAACUUAAACAAAAACUAAUAAAAUAUGCCAACUGUGUGCGUAACCGUGACUGUCCCUUCGAAGAUCUCUCUUCGAUCGGGAACACGGUGGGGUUAUGAAUGCCGUAGGUAGGUGUUCAGGAUCACUUUCUGAUCAAGUAAUCACGAUCGUUAGUAUAGAACACUGUCACUUCUCCUUUGCGUAAGCUAGCCACUUGUUCAAUCUUAGGAUGCAACAACCUGAAACACUUCCCCCCUUCCUUACCCAAUAACAUGACUAGUUCUGGCACCAAGGUCUUAGAUUGCUGAGUCCCCAUGACUCACGGAUUCCUCCGAAACUCCCAGCAGGUACAGGUACCCCAGAGGCAGAUGAUCCCGACGGCACCCAGCUGGCGUGGCAGUACGACGA
Molecule: long non-coding RNA, 488 nt
Filed under: Hordeum vulgare
Lineage: Eukaryota; Viridiplantae; Streptophyta; Magnoliopsida; Poales; Poaceae
Description: long non-coding RNA (HVUL_LNC007300)
Source: RNAcentral